Stegostoma tigrinum is the source of this 243-nucleotide long non-coding RNA. RefSeq lists it as uncharacterized. The transcript is spliced from 3 exons. The record is from RefSeq and is a predicted model, not a curated record. NCBI's taxonomy places the organism in Eukaryota, Metazoa, Chordata, Chondrichthyes, Orectolobiformes, Stegostomatidae.
ACAUGAACUAGUUUGAGAUGCUUAAGACCGACAUCAGUCAUCGAAAUCAGCAGGUUUGAAACAUAAACCAUGUUUUGUGAAAAUUGAACCUAACCACAUUGCCCCGUAAUGUCCAUGGAUGUGCAGGCCAGAUGAAUUAAGCAUUGUAAAUGGUGUUCUGCAAGUGUUUGGAGGCUUUGAGAAGAGAUGAUUGUCUGCCAGCUUGAGAAUCUCCUUUGUGUAAAUGAAGCAAUGAAUUCGGAC